CCUACGUGAGGCUGCAGUGAGGAAUAUUGGUCAAUGGGCGCGAGCCUGAACCAGCCAAGUAGCGUGAAGGAUGACUGCCCUACGGGUUGUAAACUUCUUUUAUAAAGAAAUAAAGUGAGGCACGUGUGCCUUUUUGUAUGUACUUUAUGAAUAAGGAUCGGCUAACUCCGUGCCAGCAGCCGCGGUAAUACGGAGGAUCCGAGCGUUAUCCGGAUUUAUUGGGUUUAAAGGGAGAGUAGAUGGGUUGUUAAGUCAGUUGUGAAAGUUUGCGGCUCAACCGUAAAAUUGCAAUUGAUACUGGCAGUCUUGAGUACAGUUGAGGUAGGCGGAAUUCGUGGUGUAGCGGUGAAAUGCUUAGAUAUCACGAAGAACGCCGAUUGCGAAGGCAGCUUACUAAACUGCCACUGACAUUGAUGCUCGAAAGUGUGGGUAUCAAACAGGAUUAGAUACCCCGGUAGUC
RNAcentral lists this ribosomal RNA (460 nucleotides) under uncultured bacterium. Its description in RNAcentral is "partial 16S ribosomal RNA". It matches the Rfam family "Bacterial small subunit ribosomal RNA", at positions 338 to 795 of the family's 1533-position model. The record is from RNAcentral.